Molecule: signal recognition particle RNA, 97 nt
Filed under: Acetobacter sp. AN02
Lineage: Bacteria; Pseudomonadati; Pseudomonadota; Alphaproteobacteria; Acetobacterales; Acetobacteraceae
Description: signal recognition particle sRNA small type
Rfam family: Bacterial small signal recognition particle RNA
About the family: The signal recognition particle (SRP) is a universally conserved ribonucleoprotein involved in the co-translational targeting of proteins to membranes. Archaeal SRP consists of a 7S RNA and homologues of the eukaryotic SRP19 and SRP54 proteins.
Source: RNAcentral
GGGAGAUCGGCGCUGGACGGAUACCUCGCUAACCCGGUCAGGUCCGGAAGGAAGCAGCCAUAGUGAGUUCGUCCGGGUCAGUGUCCGGUCUUCCACC